UUGAGUCAGAUGUGAAAGCCCAGGGCUCACCCUUGGAACUGCAUUUGAUACUGGCAAACUAGAGUAUGGUAGACGAAUGGGGAAUUUCUGGUGUAGCGGUGAAAUGCGUAGAGAUCAGAAGGAACACCAAUGGCGAAGGCAACAUUCUGGACCAAUACUGACACUGAGGGACGAAAGCGUGGGGAUCAAACAGGAUUAGAUACCCUGGUAGUCCACGCUGUAAACGAUGAGUACUAGCUGUUGGAUUCGGUGUAAAGGAUCUAGUGGCGUAGCUAACGCGUUAAGUACUCCGCCUGGGGACUACGGCCGCAAGGCUAAAACUCAAAGGAAUUGACGGGGACCCGCACAAGCGGUGGAGCAUGUGGUUUAAUUCGAUGCAACGCGAAGAACCUUACCUGGUCUUGACAUCCUGCGAACUUUCUAGAGAUAGAUUGGUGCCUUCGGGAACGCAGUGACAGGUGCUGCACGGCUGUCGUCAGCUCGUGUUGUGAAAUGUUGGGUUAAGUCCCGCAACGAGCGCAACCCCUAUUGAUAGUUACCAUCAUUAAGUUGGGUACUCUAUUGAGACUGCCGCUGACAAGGCGGAGGAAGGUGGGGACGACGUCAAGUCAUCAUGGCCCUUACGACCAGGGCUACACACGUGCUACAAUGGGUAUUACAGAGGGCAGCGAAGUAGCGAUAUGGAGCGAAACUCAGAAAGGUACUCUUAGUCCGGAUUGCAGUCUGCAACUCGACUGCAUGAAGUCGGAAUCGCUAGUAAUCGCAGGUCAGAAUACUGCGGUGAAUACGU
Molecule: ribosomal RNA, 790 nt
Filed under: uncultured bacterium
Lineage: Bacteria
Description: bacterial SSU rRNA
Rfam family: Bacterial small subunit ribosomal RNA
Source: RNAcentral